RNAcentral lists this ribosomal RNA (489 nucleotides) under uncultured bacterium. RNAcentral's name for it is "partial 16S ribosomal RNA". It matches the Rfam family "Bacterial small subunit ribosomal RNA", at positions 28 to 507 of the family's 1533-position model. The record is from RNAcentral.
GACGAACGCUGGCGGCGUGCUUAACACAUGCAAGUCGAACGGAAAGGCCCCCACCUUGGUGGGGGUGCUCGAGUGGCGAACGGGUGAGUAACACGUGGGUGAUCUGCCCUGUACUUCGGGAUAAGCUUGGGAAACUGGGUCUAAUACCGGAUAGGACCAUGGUUUAGUGUCUCAUGGUGGAAAAAUUAUUGUUUUGGUACAGGAUGAGCUCGCGGCCUAUCAGCUUGUUGGUGGGGUAAUGGCCUACCAAGGCGUCGACGGGUAGCCGGCCUGAGAGGGUGGACGGCCACAUUGGGACGGAGAUACGGCCCAGACUCCUACGGGAGGCAGCAGUGGGGAAGAUUGCACAAUGGGCGCAAGCCUGAUGCAGCGACGCCGCGUGGGGGAUGACGGCCUUCGGGUUGUAAACUCCUUUCGUUAGGGACGAAGCCACACCUUUUUUGGGUGUGGUGACGGUACCUUUGUUAAGAAGCACCGGCUAACUACGUG